Molecule: long non-coding RNA, 4619 nt
Filed under: Lactuca sativa (garden lettuce)
Lineage: Eukaryota; Viridiplantae; Streptophyta; Magnoliopsida; Asterales; Asteraceae
Description: long non-coding RNA (LSAT_LNC008091)
Source: RNAcentral
GAGCAUCCUCUUGUCGUGUUCCACCACUUCAGAUUACCGCCACCCCUUUUCGUGUAAUAGAUGAUGAUGGUGAUGACACUUCCCACCAUGAGCCACCACCUUCUGCUGCUUCACCUUCUGCUGCUUCACCAUAUAUUGCUUCACCAUCUGGUAACCCCAACAAAAGGGCUAAACCCUCAACUCCUAUACCCCCAUGUGCUUCACCAUCAGCUUCUUCACUUGAUGGAACUUCUAUUACUGCUGACGAAUUAGCAUUAGAAAUGAAAAAAGCUCUACAAAGUUUGACUAAAGGGUAUACAAUCCCUCAAUGUUUAGAGAAGUUAGAGGUGCUUCAAUUAGGCCCUACAGAUUCUUUACGCUUUGUUGCAUAUCAUAUUUUCGGAGGGACCAUGAACAUGAGAGANNNNNNNNNNNNNNNNNNNNNNNNNNNNNNNNNNNNNNNNNNNNNNNNNNNNNNNNNNNNNNNNNNNNNNNNNNNNNNNNNNNNNNNNNNNNNNNNNNNNCCCUAAAACCAUUGAACGUUGGUCUCCCCAGCGUCUGGACGGUCCUCGUUCUUCUCUUCCUCCUCGUUCCCCUGGUCCAUCUUCACAUGAUCACCCAUCUACCCCUCCUCGUGAUCGUGGUGUUCGCUCGUUAACCCGUACGGAGUGGGAAGAACGCCGGAAAAAAGGUCUCUGUUUCCGAUGCGGUCAACAAUUCGGACCAGGUCACAAAUGCCCUGAUGGGAAAUUACGUGUACUCAUUCUGGGUGAUGAUGAAGUUGAUGAGGGCAGUAAUUACAGGUAUACCGAAACUCCUCCUCUGGAAGACUCCCCACUUUUGCCCAACGACGAAGGACACUGUGCUGCCUUGGAAUUCACUGGCACUUCUACCGAAUGUAGUGGAGGUAAGACUCUGAAAUUUGAUGGGGAACUUUUGGGAAUUCCUGUUGUGGUUUUGGUUGAUAGUGGAGCCACCCACAAUUUUUUGUCCCGUCAAUUGGUGCUGGCAUUAGGCAUUUCUUCUAUUCCAUUUCAUGGCAUCAACAUUAAGCUGGGGGAUGGACAUGUGGUUCGUGUAACUGAGAAGUGUGUCAAUCUUCAUAUUUUGAUGGGUGGUUGCUCUUUUGCUGUGAAUCUCUUAGUUUUUGACACUGGGAAUCCUGAUAUCAUCUUGGGAAUGGAAUGGUUAAAAACCUUGGGCGAAGUCACGCAUAAUUGGGAUAAAUCCUGGAUGCGUUUCUCUUAUCAGGGUAUGAUGGUUCAGCUUCAAGGUUUAAUUCCUGGGCAACCAUCUCAAGCCUCUCUGCAUAAAUGGUUACAAGUCCAAUCCUCAUCCUCAAUCAGUCCUUCUGUGACUCGGGAGACUUCCAGUGGGUUGGUUUAUUCUAUGGCAGAGACAGGGCUAUCCUUGGUUCAGCAGGAUGAGUUGCAGGUGUUAUUUUGCAAGUUUGAUGGGGUUUUUCAGCCUCCCAGGGGGUUGCCUCUGUCCCGUCCCCAUGACCACAUUAUUGCUUUGGAAAAUCUUCAAGCACCUGUGUGUGUCCGUCCGUAUCGUUACCCUCAUGUCCAAAAGUCCGAAAUUGAACGUCAGGUUCAAGAGCUUUUGAAUUUAGGGUUGAUUCGACCCAGUAAAAGUGCUUAUUCGAGCCCGGUGAUUUUGGUUCGCAAGAAGGAUAAUACCUGGCGGAUGUGUGUGGACUAUAGGGCCCUGAAUAAGGCAACCAUUCCUGAUAAGUUUCCAAUUCCUGUAGUGGAAGAAUUGUUAGAUGAGUUAAUUGGUGCUUGUUACUUUUCCAAGCUCGAUCUCAAAUCGGGCUAUAAUCAAAUCAGAAUGCAUGAGGAUAGUGUUGAGAAGACGGCAUUUCGUACCCAUGACGGCCAUUAUGAAUACUUGGUAAUGCCUUUUGGCUUGAUGAACGCUCCUGCUACAUUUCAAGCUGUGAUGAAUGAUGUUUUUCGGCCUUUGUUACGAAAGAAGGUGGUCAUUUUUUUUGAUGAUAUUUUGGUUUACAGUGCAACGUGGCAAGAUCAUUUGCACGAUUUAGCAACAGUGCUUCGAAUUUUGGAAUAUAAUCAGUUUGUGGUUAACCAAAAGAAGUGUUCAUUUGGACAGCAAUCCAUUGAAUACUUGGGUCACAUUAUCGAUGGAAAAGGUGUGUCGAUGGACCCAACAAAGGUAGAUGCAGUGGUGGAGUGGCCAGUGCCCAAACAGUUGAAAGGCCUUCGGGGGUUUUUGGGAUUAACGGGCUAUUACCGGAAGUUCGUUAGGAAUUAUGGGAGUAUAGCACGUCCAUUAACUGAUUUAACAAAAAAAGAUGCUUUUAAAUGGAAUUCGGAGGCACAAAUGGCAUUUGACAAUUUAAAGAAUGCUUUGGUUACAGCCCCUGUUCUUGCUUUACCGGAUUUUUCGGUUCCUUUUGUCGUUGAAUGUGAUGCUUCCGGAAGGGGUAUUGGGGCAGUUUUGAUGCAACGAAAUAAGCCGAUUGCUUAUUUUAGCAGGGCGCUUAGUGAUCAAAAUUUGUCGAAAUCGGCAUAUGAACGAGAGAUUAUGGCUUUGGUACUUGCAGUUCAACAUUGGAGGUCGUAUUUACUGGGGACCAAAUUUGUGGUGUACACCGACCAAAAGAGCCUCAAGUUUUUAUUACAACAACGCAUCACGUCCCCAGAUCAACAAAAUUGGGUGGCCAAACUCUUGGGUUACGAUUUUGACAUUCAAUAUAAACCGGGUCGCGAAAAUCGAGCAGCUGACGCUCUUUCCCGACGAGCCGAAGCCGGGGAACUCCAUCAACUACAAUCUGCCCCUGUGUGGGUUCAGGGGGCACAGUUGGUCAAGGAAGCACAAGAAGAUCGUGACAUUCAACGUAUCAUGCAAGCAUGUCAAGAUUCUUCAACGCGUCAUCCGGGGUUUUCUGUUCGCAAUGGGAUCUUGUAUUACAGGGAUCGAUUGGUAAUUCCUCGUCAAUCUAAGUUUAUCCCAGCCCUUCUCCAUGAAUUCCAUGUGUCUGCUACCGGUGGACACUCAGGGUAUUACCGUACGUAUCGGAGGUUAGCUGCUAACCUUUAUUGGCCUGGCAUGAUUGAGUGUAUUAAGAACUUUGUGCGUGCUUGUGAUGUUUGUCAACGUUGCAAGGCAAGUUCUUUGGCUCCCGGAGGUCUUCUACAACCCUUAGAUAUUCCAAAAGCAAUUUGGGAAGACCUUUCUCUAGAUUUUAUACUUGGUCUACCCAAAUCUAAAGGGUUUGAUGCGGUUCUUGUGGUGGUGGACAGGCUGUCUAAAUAUGCCCAUUUCAUACUUUUGAAGCAUCCGUAUACUGCCAGAACUGUAGCUGAGGUUUUUGUUCGAGAGGUGGUCCGCCAUCAUGGCAUUCCUAAGUCUAUUGUGAGUGAUCGUGACCCUUUGUUCAUUAGUAAAUUCUGGCAGGAAAUUUUCAAGGCCCAAGGCACUCAAUUGCACAUGAGUUCAGCAUACCACCCGGAAUCGGAUGGGCAAACAGAAGUGAUUAACAGGUGCUUGGAAGCAUAUCUUCGGUGCUUUGCAGUGGAUCAGCCACGUUUAUGGACCACAUGGAUCCCAUGGGCUGAGUUUUGGUACAACUCUACCUUUCAUGGAUCCACCGGCAUCUCCCCUUUUGAAGUAGUUUAUGGGCGCAAACCACCAACUGUAUUCCAAUACGUUCCAGGAGAAGUCCGGGUUCAGGCUGUAUCACAAGAGCUUCAGGAUCGGGAUGAGGCACUUCGACAGUUGAAAGUUCACUUAGCUCAAGCUCAAAGUACUAUGAAGGCCCAGGCAGACAAGAAACGCAGAGAUAGUCAUUUUCAGAACGGAGAAUGGGUGUAUGUCAAACUGAAGCCCUAUCGACAAAAGUCUGUUUCUAGUAGNNNNNNNNNNNNNNNNNNNNNNNNNNNNNNNNNNNNNNNNNNNNNNNNNNNNNNNNNNNNNNNNNNNNNNNNNNNNNNNNNNNNNNNNNNNNNNNNNNNNGACACUUCCCACCAUGAGCCACCACCUUCUGCUGCUUCACCUUCUACCGCUUCACCUUCUGCAGCUUCACAUUCUGCUGCUUCACCUUCUGCUGCUUCACCAUAUACUGCUUCACCAUCUGGUAACCCCAACAAAAGGGCUAAACCCUCAACUCCUAUACCUCCAUGUGCUUCACCAUCAGCUUCUUCACCUGAUGGAACUUCUAUUACUGCUGAGGACUUAGCAUUAGAAAUGAAAAAAGCUCUACAAAGUUUGACUAAAGGGUAUACAAUCCCUCAAUGUUUAGAGAAGUUAGAGGUGCUUCAAUUAGGCCCUACAGAUCCUUUACACUUUGUUGCAUAUCAUAUUUUCGGAGGGACCAUGAACAUGAGAGAGAUGUGGAUGCAUUUGCCUGAUGUUCCCGAGAUAUUACGAGGAUGGCUUGAGAUGACGGGUACAAGUUUAGAAGUUUUGAAGGAUGGAAAGAUUGUCCGUUGAUUUUUCUAGUGCUGAAACUAUUUGUUAGGUCUUUUGCAUUUGUUGGAACUAUUUUGUUAGGUAUUUUUGCCUUUGUUGGAACUAUUUUUUGCUACUUUGCUACUUGGAAUCUAGUUUACCUAAUGUUUUUUUGGUACUUGAAAUAUGGUUUAAGUAAUGUUUUUUUGCUACUUGAAAUAUGG